UGGGGAAUAUUGCACAAUGGGCGAAAGCCUGAUGCAGCGACGCCGCGUGAGGGAUGACGGCCUUCGGGUUGUAAACCUCUUUCAGCAGGGAAGAAGCGAAAGUGACGGUACCUGCAGAAGAAGCGCCGGCUAACUACGUGCCAGCAGCCGCGGUAAUACGUAGGGCGCAAGCGUUGUCCGGAAUUAUUGGGCGUAAAGAGCUCGUAGGCGGUUAGUCGCGUCUGCUGUGAAAACUCGAGGCUCAACCUCGGGCUUGCAGUGGGUACGGGCUGACUAGAGUGCGGUAGGGGUGACUGGAAUUCCUGGUGUAGCGGUGGAAUGCGCAGAUAUCAGGAGGAACACCGAUGGCGAAGGCAGGUCACUGGGCCGCAACUGACGCUGAGGAGCGAAAGCAUGGGGAGCGAACAGGAUUAGAUACCCUGGUAGUCCAUGCCGUAAACGUUGGGCACUAGGUGUGGGGUCCAUUCCACGGAUUCCGUGCCGCAGCAAACGCAUUAAGUGCCCC
RNAcentral lists this ribosomal RNA (505 nucleotides) under uncultured bacterium. RNAcentral's name for it is "partial 16S ribosomal RNA". It matches the Rfam family "Bacterial small subunit ribosomal RNA", at positions 355 to 870 of the family's 1533-position model. The record is from RNAcentral.